AUUGCCUCAGUAACGGCGAGUGAAGCGGCAACAGCUCAAAUUUGAAAUCUGGCUCCUUCGGGGCCCGAGUUGUAAUUUGCAGAGGAUGCGUCGGGUACGGGUGCCUUCCGAGUUCCCUGGAACGGGACGCCAUAGAGGGUGAGAGCCCCGUCUGGUAGGAUACCCAGCCCGUGUGACGCUCCCUCGACGAGUCGAGUAGUUUGGGAAUGCUGCUCUAACGGGAGGUAUACUCCUUCCAAGGCUAAAUACCGGCUGGAGACCGAUAGCGCACAAGUAGAGUGAUCGAAAGAUGAAAAGCACUUUGAAAAGAGAGUCAAACAGCACGUGAAAUUGUUAAAAGGGAAGCGCUCGCUACCAGACUUGGGUUCGGCGGUUCAACCGGGGCCACGCCCCGGGGCAUUCCGCCGGCCCAGGCCAGCAUCAGCUUUCCGUCGGGGGUAAAGGCGUCGGGAAUGUGGCUCCCCUUCGGGGGAGUGUUAUAGCCCGUCGUGUCAUACCCUUCGGGGGGCUGAGGUACGCGCUUCUGCAAGGAUGCUGGCGUAAUGGUAGCUAGUGACCCGUCUUGAAACACGGACCAAGGAGUCAACCUUAUGUGCGAGUGCCCGGGCGUAAAACCCCAGCGCGGAAUGAAAGUGAACGUAGGUGAGAGCUUCGGCGCAUCACCGACCGAUCCUGAUGUCCUCGGACGGAUUUGAGUGAGAGCAUAUAGGGUUGGACCCGAAAGAAGAUGAACUAUGCGUGUGUAGGGUGAAGCCAGAGGAAACUCUGGUGGAGGCUCGCAGCGGUUCUGACGUGCAAAUCGAUCGUCAAA
This 811-nucleotide ribosomal RNA is filed under the name Plectosphaerella cucumerina. RNAcentral describes it as "partial large subunit ribosomal RNA". It matches the Rfam family "Eukaryotic large subunit ribosomal RNA", at positions 74 to 909 of the family's 3401-position model. Lineage: Eukaryota; Fungi; Ascomycota; Sordariomycetes; Glomerellales; Plectosphaerellaceae. The record is from RNAcentral.